UACAGAGGGUGCAAGCGUUAAUCGGAAUUACUGGGCGUAAAGCGAACGUAGGCGGUUACCUAAGUCGGAUGUGAAAUCCCCGGGCUCAACCUGGGAAUUGCAUUCGAGACUGGGUGGCUAGAAUGCGGAAGAGGGAAGCGGAAUUUCCGGUGUAGCGGUGAAAUGCGUAGAUAUCGGAAGGAACAUCAGUGGCGAAAGCGGCUUCCUGGUCCAGCAUUGACGCUCAGGUUCGAAAGCGUGGGGAGCAAACAGG
This 253-nucleotide ribosomal RNA is filed under the name uncultured bacterium. RNAcentral describes it as "partial 16S ribosomal RNA". It matches the Rfam family "Bacterial small subunit ribosomal RNA", at positions 524 to 776 of the family's 1533-position model. The record is from RNAcentral.